Molecule: ribosomal RNA, 89 nt
Filed under: Escherichia coli
Lineage: Bacteria; Pseudomonadati; Pseudomonadota; Gammaproteobacteria; Enterobacterales; Enterobacteriaceae
Description: partial 16S ribosomal RNA
Rfam family: Bacterial small subunit ribosomal RNA
Source: RNAcentral
AAAUUGAAGAGUUUGAUCAUGGCUCAGAUUGAACGCUGGCGGCAGGCCUAACACAUGCAAGUCGAACGGUAACAGAAAAGCAGCUUGCU